GCGCGGCCGGGCCGGGCGGCCCCGGCAGCUGCGCAGGGGCUGCUCCCGGCGAGUCGGCCGGGGCGUCGUGGGGUGGGGUGGGGACCGCCCUGGCUCCGUGACGGGACGUCGGAGGCUGGCGGAAGGGUGUGCCGCUAGCGCCGUCGCGGCGUGGCUGAAGUUAAGUGCGGGCUCCGGAGGCCCUGAGGUGUUGGAGCCGGGAGCCUCCGCCAGCCCCGCUGUGCGGGCCCGUGCCUGGGAGAGACGUUCCCGGUCCGGGUCCGUGCGCCUUCGGCUGGCCCCGUGCGUGGGAGCGUUGCCGCGUAAAAAAGGAAGACGUGAGACGAAAACAAACUAUGAAAGUAUUGGUUAUCGGCCUUGGGGGUGUAACAAAUGGAGGGAAAACAACGUUAGCAGAAAAACUUAAGAAUAUGCUUCCCAACUGUGAUGUAAUCUCUCAAGAUGACUUCUUUAAGCCAGAGUCUGAAGUAGAAACAGAUGAACAUGGAUUUAAGCUAUAUGAUGUACUUGAUGCCCUCUAUAUGGAUGAAAUGGUGACAAGUAUUCGCAAUUGGAUGAAAAGCCCAGCAAGCUCAGGUGUUGUGAAAGAAGAGCCAGAGAAUACAUCUGACAAUCUGAAAAAUGUUUAUAUUUUGAUUGUUGAAGGCUUUCUCCUUUACAAUUAUGAGCCACUUAAUGAAGUAUGGAAUAGAAGAUAUUUUUUGACCCUUCCUUAUGAAGAGUGCAAAAGGAGAAGGAGUACCAGAGUCUAUCAGCCAGCAGAUACACCAGGGUACUUCGAUGGACAUGUGUGGCCUAUGUAUUUGAAAUAUAAAAAGGAAUUGGAAGAGAAUGCAAGUAUGGAAGUUGAUUAUUUGGAUGGAACAAAAUCCCAAGAGGAGCUUUUAUCCUAUGUGUAUAGUGAUAUAAUACAGGAAUUAAACAAGCUGAGGGAAGAAAAUCAGCAGGUCACAGCAUGACAGUGUAGAAAGCCUGGGUUCCAUUUGACAUGAGUUGAAAACACCAAGACUGUCGUAUAUGGCAAGCCAACCAACUGAGCAAAUGUUGUGUGUAUGACCAUAAUGCUACUUCAUAUAACACAAGAGAUUUUGUACAAUUGCAAGAGAUUAGCUAAUGCAUGGAAUGGCUGUGAAGGGCUGACCUUGGCUAGCCACCAAAACAGCUCCACAACAGGAGAGGGGAAAAAAAUGUAAUGGAUUUGCAUCUUGACUCAUGCGUCAAGGACAGGAAGAUCUUUCAGCAGUUACUCACAUGCAAUCAAAACAGACAUGGUUUUGGGAAAUUAUUUGAAUCUACUGCCAAUAAAAUCAGAAAUAAUGAGAAAAAUGAGAA
Lonchura striata (white-rumped munia) is the source of this 1332-nucleotide RNA transcript. It is a transcript of the gene named nicotinamide riboside kinase 1, with no coding region annotated. NCBI's taxonomy places the organism in Eukaryota, Metazoa, Chordata, Aves, Passeriformes, Estrildidae. The record is from RefSeq and is a predicted model, not a curated record.